GAGGCAACGUAAUGCCUCCCGGUGUUUGCUUUUAGAUAGCAUGCAUUCUGAAUCCAGAGGUGUGACGUUUACCAUGGCAUCUACCUUGAUCUUUAAUGCCGCGUAGGAGACUACUCGGAACUCCCAAUAUUUCCAACUCAGAAAAUUUCACUGGAAUGCCACUUGGAAUCCCAAGCUCUGACUCAAACUCUGAGGGGAAAAAGUAAUAAUCUAUAAAUUAAAGGAGUCAUCUCAUACCCCCUUUUCCCAGAAGUUGACACGGUCCCUUGGGGGUCUUAAUGAAAUGCCUGUACCCUGAUUGGUCAAAAUACCACAAGGAUCAAGCACCACAGCACCCUUCUCACCCUGUCUAAAACAGCCCUUUUCUGAGAGUCUGGUUUGAGUGCCUGUGCCUUUAAAUGAUAAUGAGCCACUGCUCUUCCACGGGUAAUGACGACACGAGUAGGCUCUCCAUGGCAAUGCCAAGUUGGUUGAUGUCUUUGGAAUUCAUUGAUGUCUCAAAUACUGAGGUAUUUCCGAUUUUUACUAAGAGAAAACUUGAAAUGGACUCAAGUGGCUUUGUUUCUGAAAAAGCAGUGUACACCUUUAUUCCAUUUGUGUCUUGACCUAAUGAUUGUAUACAUGCCUUAUUUUAUAAUAAUACAUUUUUAAUAAAAAAAAAAAAUCACAUUCUUGCCAGCUGCUUCCAAUACAAGUCUAGCAUAAUAAUACAAAUACUUCCUGACACUGACUGUAGCUGGGACGUUGCCAUACAAAAAUAAACCUAAUAAAUCCACUCCGCUCUUCUGUCCCCUGAGGCUGGGGGUCUCUUGAUACCCAAAUGUAGUACGGAAGCACUGAAAAAGUUUCAGUUGAAGGUUGAGUUUUCCAUAAUAUGUCACCUUUAAUCAAUUUGACAUUAUCAAUAUGGUGGCAACAUAACAGAAACCUUGACUAUAUCAAAGGUUAAAAACCUUUUUAAAUAUGCGUGAACAUGCAUAGGGUCUCUACAAACAAGAAAAAAGUUGCAUAACAUUCGCUUCGGAAAUAAACUUGUCUACCUGUUGCUUUCAAAAACAAUGAUGGGGUAACCUGGUGUGAACAGGCUCUUGCAAGCUGUGCACAUUUCUAGCGACUCAAGCAUAUUUGGUCUGCAUCAUGUACAACAUCAUAGUAGUCUUGCUCCUUUUGGGUUAGCUGCUAGGCUCUGUCACAUUCCUGUUCCGCCAGGCCGACGGCCCCUUUUACACAGACGUCGAUCCGGCUCUGUGACUACCGCCGCUGUGUGUGUGUGUGUGUGUGUGUGUCGAUCCAACUCUGUGACUACCUCCGCUGUGUGUGUGUGUGUGUGUGUGUGUGGAUCCAGCUCUGUGACUACCGUGUGUGUGUGUGUGUGUGUGUGUGUGUGUGUGUGGAUACGGCUCUGUGACUACCGCCGCUGUGUGUGUGUCGAUCCAACUCUGUGACUACCUCCGCUGUGUGUGUGUGUGUGUGUGUGUGUGUGUGUGUGUGUGUGUGUGUGUGUGUGUGUGUGUGUGUGUGUGUGUGUGUGUGUGUGUGUGUGUGUGUGUGUGUCGAUACGGCUCUGUGACUACCUCCGCUGCUGGCUCAGAGGCGGAACAACAAUGACCCCCCCAUUCCGUCUUCAUACCUUUUUCUACAGAAUUGUGAGGUGGAAUGAAGGCAAAAUACUCCUGCAGUGAACACACUGUAUAAAAAGCCUUUUUUUAUUUCCCUCUCAUUCUCCUGCAAUUUCUUGUUCUGUCGGUCUCACCUCUUUCUCUCUCCUGCCCAGUUUAUCUGGCUGACUAAACAGUUUUGUCAGCUGGCAGUUGUUCAUAGGCUGAGGAUUUGUAAUACCUUCUGGAGUUUAGCAGGAUAAGGGGGAGGGGUGCUACUCACAGGCAGCACUUGUUGCUUAGUGGAGCUGUGCAGUAACAUGAGGUACACCCCAUCGACACUCACACUGUUUCUGAUAGGAGCUGUGCAGUAACAUGAGGUAUACCCCCUCGACACUCACACUGUUUCUGAUAGGAGCUGUGCAGUAACAUGAGGUAUACCCCCUCGACACUCACACUGACAGCCCUUUUAGUUAGCGGUGCUAUUUUACUGUCAUGGUGUUGUGUGGGAAUGAGAGCAAAGCGGUGGAGUUGAACCAUUCCCAUGGCCACUUUAGUAACAUCUUCUGCCACAACUCCAGUGAAUGUGAAAUACAAGAUGGCCAUGUUGAAGUAU
Molecule: long non-coding RNA, 2214 nt
Organism: Clupea harengus (Atlantic herring)
Lineage: Eukaryota; Metazoa; Chordata; Actinopteri; Clupeiformes; Clupeidae
Source: Ensembl